This 1367-nucleotide ribosomal RNA is filed under the name metagenome. Its description in RNAcentral is "SSU rRNA". It matches the Rfam family "Eukaryotic small subunit ribosomal RNA", at positions 4 to 1336 of the family's 1831-position model. The record is from RNAcentral.
CUGGUUGAUCCUGCCAGUAGUGAUAUGCUUGUUUCAAAGAUUAAGCCAUGCAUGUCUAAGUAUAAGCGAACUUAUACAGUGAAACUGCGGAUGGCUCAUUAAAACAGUUUGAAUUUAUUUGAUGAAUGUAUGAGAAUACUACUUGGAUAACCGUAGUAAUUCUAGAGCUAAUACAUGCAACGACGCCCGACCGUUUCACUACGGAAGGGCUGUAUUUAUUGGAUACCAAAACCAUCCUUCCCUCGGGAAGUUUUGUUUGAUGAUUCAUAAUAACUGAUCGGAUCGCCACUGUGGUGGCGACAGGUCAUUCAACAUUCUGCCCUAUCAGCUUUCGAUGGUUGUGUAGUGGACAACCAUGGCCAUAACGGGUAACGGAGAAUCAGGGUUCGAUUCCGGAGAAGGAGCUUGAGAAUUGGCUACUACAUCUAAGGAAGGCAGCAGGCGCGCAAAUUACCCAAUCCCGAUUCGGGGAGGUAGUGACAAAAAAUAACAAUACCGGGCCUUUUUGGGCUUGGUAAUUGGAAUGAGGGAGAGUUAAACGGACCAUCGAGUAUCCAUUGGAGGGCAAGUCUGGUGCCAGCAGCUGCGGUAAUACCAGCUCCAAUAGCGUAUAUUAAAGUUGUUGCAGUUAAAAAGCUCGUAGUUGGACUUGUGUGCGCUGUCCGCGGGUGGCCUGCGCCCAAAAGGGCGUUUCGGUUCGGCCCCGGUGGCGCCUUGAAAUCUGCAGCUGGGGGGACGUUGGCCUUAACUGGUCGGCGACCGCACGCCGGCUGCUCGGUUACUGUGAGAAAAUUAGAGUGUUCAAGGCAGGCAUUGGGUGCAAUUGAAUACAUUAGCAUGGAAUAAUAAAAUAUGGCUCCUGCCGUAUUUUGUUGGUUUUGACUGGUGGGAGUAAUGAUUGAUAGGGACGGUUGGGGGUGCUAGUAUUGAGCGGCCAGAGGUGAAAUUCAUGGAUUCGCUCAAGACUAACUUAUGCGAAAGCAUUCACCAAGGACGUCCUCUUUAAUCAAGAACGAAAGUUGGGGGAUCGAAGACGAUCAGAUACCGUCGUAGUCUCAACCAUAAACUAUGUCGACUUGGGAUCGGCGGUAGUUUUUUCAUUAAGACACUGUCGGGACCACGGGAGAAAUCAAAGUGUCUGGACUCUGGGGGAAGUAUGGUCGCAAGGCUGAAACUUGAAGGAAUUGACGGAAGGGCACCACCAGGAGUGGAGCCUGCGGCUUAAUUUGACCCAACACGGGGAAACUUACCAGGUCCAGAGAUGUAGAGGAUUGACAGAUUGAAGCUCUUUCUUGAUCACUUCGGUGGUGGUGCAUGGCCGUUCUUAGUUGGUGGAGUGAUUUGUCUGGUUAAUUCCGUUAACGAAC